This 503-nucleotide ribosomal RNA is filed under the name uncultured bacterium. RNAcentral's name for it is "bacterial SSU rRNA". It matches the Rfam family "Bacterial small subunit ribosomal RNA", at positions 791 to 1285 of the family's 1533-position model. The record is from RNAcentral.
UAGUCCACGCCGUAAACGAUGAUAACUAGCUGUUCGGGCCCACAGGGCUUGAGUGGCGCAGCUAACGCAUUAAGUUAUCCGCCUGGGGAGUACGGUCGCAAGAUUAAAACUCAAAGGAAUUGACGGGGGCCUGCACAAGCGGUGGAGCAUGUGGUUUAAUUCGACGCAACGCGCAGAACCUUACCAGCUUUUGACAUCCUGGUCGCGGAUUUGGGAGACCAUUUCCUUCAGUUCGGCUGGACCAGUGACAGGUGCUGCAUGGCUGUCGUCAGCUCGUGUCGUGAGAUGUUGGGUUAAGUCCCGCAACGAGCGCAACCCUCAUCCUUAGUUGCCAGCAUUUAGUUGGGCACUCUAAGGAAACUGCCGGUGAUAAGCCGGAGGAAGGUGGGGAUGACGUCAAGUCCCAUGCCGUACCUAAGACUGGCGUACUACACGUGCUACAACUAGGCGAUGACAGUGAGCAGCUAACCCGCCGAGGGCGAAGCGUAAUCUCUAAAGACUCU